AACGAACGCUGGCGGCAUGCCUAACACAUGCAAGUCGAACGAGACCUUCGGGUCUAGUGGCGCACGGGUGCGUAACGCGUGGGAACCUGCCUCUAGGUUCGGAAUAACUCAGAGAAAUUUGAGCUAAUACCGGAUAAUGUCUUCGGACCAAAGAUUUAUCGCCUUUAGAUGGGCCCGCGUUGGAUUAGCUAGUUGGUGGGGUAAAGGCCUACCAAGGCGACGAUCCAUAGCUGGUCUGAGAGGAUGAUCAGCCACACUGGGACUGAGACACGGCCCAGACUCCUACGGGAGGCAGCAGUGGGGAAUAUUGGACAAUGGGCGAAAGCCUGAUCCAGCAAUGCCGCGUGAGUGAUGGAGGCCUUAGGGUUGUAAAGCUCUUUUACCCGAGAUGAUAAUGACAGUAUCGGGAGAAUAAGCUCCGGCUAACUCCGUGCCAGCAGCCGCAGUAA
This 449-nucleotide ribosomal RNA is filed under the name uncultured bacterium. Its description in RNAcentral is "partial 16S ribosomal RNA". It matches the Rfam family "Bacterial small subunit ribosomal RNA", at positions 29 to 523 of the family's 1533-position model. The record is from RNAcentral.